GCAACCUUAUGCUCGCGCGCGAGCGCCGCGUGGUGUUCCUGAGCCUGCUCGGUAUUUCGUGGCUCUGGUUCCUCGGGGCCACGUUCCUGACCUCGUUCUUCAGCUUCGCCAAGGACGUGCUG
Small RNA from Cupriavidus metallidurans CH34, 122 nucleotides. It matches the Rfam family "Burkholderia RNA 11". From Rfam's summary of the family: Co-purified with Hfq, expression confirmed by Northern blot. Predicted target marZ. The record is from Rfam. NCBI's taxonomy places the organism in Bacteria, Pseudomonadati, Pseudomonadota, Betaproteobacteria, Burkholderiales, Burkholderiaceae.